RNAcentral lists this ribosomal RNA (805 nucleotides) under Cephalotrichum guizhouense. RNAcentral's name for it is "eukaryotic LSU rRNA". It matches the Rfam family "Eukaryotic large subunit ribosomal RNA", at positions 71 to 904 of the family's 3401-position model. The record is from RNAcentral. Lineage: Eukaryota; Fungi; Ascomycota; Sordariomycetes; Microascales; Microascaceae.
GGGAUUGCUCAGUAACGGCGAGUGAAGCGGCAACAGCUCAAAUUUGAAAUCUGGUCCCCUCUGGGGGCCCGAGUUGUAAUUUGAAGAGGAUGCUUUUGGCGAGGCGCCUUCCGAGUGCCCUGGAACGGGACGCCACAGAGGGUGAGAGCCCCGUAUGGUAGGACGCCGAGCCUCUGUAAAGCUCCUUCGACGAGUCGAGUAGUUUGGGAAUGCUGCUCAAAAUGGGAGGUAAACCCCUUCUAAAGCUAAAUAUUGGCCAGAGACCGAUAGCGCACAAGUAGAGUGAUCGAAAGAUGAAAAGCACUUUGAAAAGAGAGUUAAACAGCACGUGAAAUUGUUGAAAGGGAAGCGCUUGCGACCAGACUUGCGCCCGUCGGAUCAACCGUCCCUCGUGGGCGGCGCACUCCGGCGGGCUCAGGCCAGCAUCAGUUUUCCCGGGGGGAGAAAGGCGGUGGGAAUGUGGCUCUUCGGAGUGUUAUAGCCCGCCGCGUAAUGCCCUCGGGGGGACUGAGGACCGCGCGUAUGCAAGGAUGCUGGCGUAAUGGUCGUCAGCGACCCGUCUUGAAACACGGACCAAGGAGUCGUCCUAAUAUGCGAGUGUACGGGUGUAAAACCCCUGCGCGUAAUGAAAGUGAACGGAGGUGAGAGCUUCGGCGCAUCAUCGACCGAUCCUGAUGUUCUCGGAUGGAUUUGAGUAAGAGCAUAUUGGGCCGGACCCGAAAGAAGGUGAACUAUGCCUGUAUAGGGUGAAGCCAGAGGAAACUCUGGUGGAGGCUCGCAGCGGUUCUGACGUGCAAAUCGAUCG